GGCUGCCUUGGGGGUCUCUCCCACCAAGCCCCCACCCCCUUGAGGAGAUUAGUAUAUAGCAUGUAUAGUAUCUAGAUCUCCUUAAGGGGGUGGGGGCUUGGUGGGAGAGACCCCCAAGGCAGCCUCAGAGAAGCUC
RNAcentral lists this microRNA precursor (136 nucleotides) under Podarcis lilfordi (Lilford's wall lizard). Lineage: Eukaryota; Metazoa; Chordata; Lepidosauria; Squamata; Lacertidae. The record is from RNAcentral.